This is a long non-coding RNA of Cyprinus carpio carpio, 1583 nucleotides long. NCBI's taxonomy places the organism in Eukaryota, Metazoa, Chordata, Actinopteri, Cypriniformes, Cyprinidae. The record is from Ensembl.
CCCCCACUUUCCUUUUCUCCAAAUUCAGACUCAUCAUAUAGGUAAGGUUAAUUUGACAUCCAGUACAGUAGGUGGCUCCUAAGGAGUUAGUCACCAGUAAACCAACAAGAAGAAGGAUUAAUUGUGCACACCUGUUUUUGGUCAUUCCUGUUCUGGUUACAUCAUUAUACCAGUGGAUGGCAACAAGCGACAUGCUGUUUUUGUGCCACAGUUUUAGGUGAGGAGGGGAUCAUCACUGGGUCACAAAAGAUAGAAGCAGAUGAUGACAGAGAGAGAGAUUCGUAGCAGAAAUUAUUCACAUGGCAUUAACGGCGUAGGUGGUUGUCUCAAAACAACCUGCCAGCAAAACUGAACACCCAUGAGCAAAGAUGGUGGAUUUCAAUUGGGUGAUACUGCGCCAGCCAAGCAACUGCCACUGAGAUGAAAUGUGAAUGCUAACUGAUAGCUUUCAUCAGGAUUUGAGCUAAACUUAAUGAUCCAAGGCAAACAUCUAAUCCACUGUGCUGCGGAGUGGUACAUGUGACAAAUGCACCCGGUGGAGAAGACGAGCAGUGCCACAACUCAUGCCACACGUCUGAUCCCUGCCCAUGUCUCUCCAACACUAAUGGCAUUACACUGCCUCCUCCUUUAGUGGCGUUCAUCCUUUGCCAUUUAUCUUUGCAUGAUGCACGAUGUACGUUAGUUGGCCUAUUAAUACUAAAUGCCAGCUUGUCACGCACAUCAGGGAGAAAAGUUGACUCUCAAACUUUAAAUAAGAAGUAUUUUUCUUCUUUUCUUUAUAUAUAUAGGAAGGAAGAGGAAGACAUUUUUGAACUACUGGGAAAAAAAUAAUACUCGGAGUACCCAGAACGUUAUCAGAUAUCAGGAGGCUGGUACUACUGCUUCUCAAAAGUAUCCAGGUUGUUUUUAUCCAAUCGCCUGAGCCAUAAAUUUGACAAAAUAUGACAUUAUAGCAAUGCGAAUUGGCUCAUGGCACCCCAAGAAUGUUUCAAGACCUUUUUAAAAGUUAAAAAAAAAAUGAUUCUUUGCUAAAUAUUUGCUCUAUACUUAUUGCAUCAUAUUACAAUUUGUGUGUGUGUAUAUAAUUAUAUAAAAAAAGUCUCUAAAGAAAAAUGUCAUGUAUUGCUGAUUGUCAGACACAUUUGAUGAAUGAAAACAGAGCUCUGUUGCACUUGUAGUUUCAAGUGUUUUAUUAUUUUUCUUUCGCUUCCUUUCCCUUUCUGUCUGGUUAACCCUACAAUAUGUGUUCAGAUGUGAUUUAAUAAGUGGAGAGGUCCCACGGGCGGCCUCGCAUUGAGUUUUCCUGUGGGUCCUUUCUGUGUGUAUGACUCUGCAGUGGCAGGGGGGCUCCCUGGCCCAGAUUAAUUACCCCCCUCUAAUUGGUUUAGUGUCUCACAGCUGGGCCAUGCAGACAGCACACUGAAACAUCCAGUUAAAUGAUGCCCAUCCGUCAUCGCUGGCUAUUAGAGCUGGGAACUGGGACCCAAGUGGUCUGUUUUCCAUAUAUUAGUAAACAUUGCAGCUGAGACUUUUCUGUAAGAAUUAAUAAGACAAUGCCAAACUACUUAAUAAAGAAUUUCAAG